Molecule: ribosomal RNA, 484 nt
Filed under: uncultured bacterium
Lineage: Bacteria
Description: partial 16S ribosomal RNA
Rfam family: Bacterial small subunit ribosomal RNA
Source: RNAcentral
AUUGAACGCUGGCGGCAUGCUUUACACAUGCAAGUCGAACGGCAGCGCGGGCUUCGGCCUGGCGGCGAGUGGCGAACGGGUGAGUAAUUCAUCGGAACGUGCCCAGUAGUGGGGGAUAGCCCGGCGAAAGCCGGAUUAAUACCGCAUACGACCUGAGGGUGAAAGCGGGGGACCGAAAGGCCUCGCGCUAUUGGAGCGGCCGAUGUCGGAUUAGCUAGUUGGUGGGGUAAAGGCUUACCAAGGCGACGAUCCGUAGCUGGUCUGAGAGGACGACCAGCCACACUGGAACUGAGACACGGCCCAGACUCCUACGGGAGGCAGCAGUGGGGAAUUUUGGACAAUGGGGGCAACCCUGAUCCAGCCAUGCCGCGUGCGGGAAGAAGGCCUUCGGGUUGUAAACCGCUUUUGUUCGGGAAGAAAUCCUCUGGGCUAAUACCCCGGGGGGAUGACGGUACCGGAAGAAUAAGCACCGGCUAACUACGUG